RNAcentral lists this ribosomal RNA (253 nucleotides) under uncultured Desulfovibrio sp. Its description in RNAcentral is "partial 16S ribosomal RNA". It matches the Rfam family "Bacterial small subunit ribosomal RNA", at positions 524 to 776 of the family's 1533-position model. The record is from RNAcentral. Lineage: Bacteria; Pseudomonadati; Thermodesulfobacteriota; Desulfovibrionia; Desulfovibrionales; Desulfovibrionaceae.
UACGGAGGGUGCAAGCGUUAAUCGGAAUCACUGGGCGUAAAGCGCGCGUAGGCGGCUUGAUAAGUCAGGCGUGAAAUCCCUCGGCUCAACCGGGGAACUGCGUUUGAUACUGUCAGGCUUGAGUAGCGGAGGGGGUGGCGGAAUUCCGGGUGUAGGAGUGAAAUCCGUAGAUAUCCGGAGGAACACCGGUGGCGAAGGCGGCCACCUGGACGCUAACUGACGCUGAGGCGCGAAAGCGUGGGGAGCAAACAGG